Molecule: ribosomal RNA, 497 nt
Filed under: uncultured bacterium
Lineage: Bacteria
Description: partial 16S ribosomal RNA
Rfam family: Bacterial small subunit ribosomal RNA
Source: RNAcentral
GAUGAACGCUGGCGGCGUGCCUAAUACAUGCAAGUCGAGCGAACAGACGAGGAGCUUGCUCCUCUGACGUUAGCGGCGGACAGGUGAGUAACACGUGGAUAACCUACCUAUAAGACUGGGAUAACUUCGGGAAACCGGAGCUAAUACCGGAUAAUAUAUUGAGCCGCAUGGUUCAAUAGUGAAAGACGGUUUUGCUGUCACUUAUAGAUGGAUCCGCGCCGCAUUAGCUAGUUGGUAAGGUAACGGCUUACCAAGGCGACGAUGCGUAGCCGACCUGAGAGGGUGAUCGGCCACACUGGAACUGAGACACGGUCCAGACUCCUACGGGAGGCAGCAGUAGGGAAUCUUCCGCAAUGGGCGAAAGCCUGACGGAGCAACGCCGCGUGAGUGAUGAAGGUCUUCGGAUCGUAAAACUCUGUUAUUAGGGAAGAACAAAUGUGUAAGUAACUAUGCACGUCUUGACGGUACCUAAUCAGAAAGCCACGGCUAACUACGUG